Molecule: microRNA precursor, 275 nt
Filed under: Oryza sativa Japonica Group (Japanese rice)
Lineage: Eukaryota; Viridiplantae; Streptophyta; Magnoliopsida; Poales; Poaceae
Description: MIR821 microRNA precursor family
Rfam family: MIR821 microRNA precursor family
Source: Rfam by way of RNAcentral
GAUUUCAACUGAAAAAGUUAUCAACAACAAAGUUGAAUAACUCAUCAAGAUAUAAAACUUUUAUUUUGGUCAUUUCUUCAUCUGAUAAAGUGAUAGUAACAUUGUUCACAAAAUUGACAUAUCUCUUAUCUGGUUUUAUAAACUAUAACACAUAUAUGUAAAAUUUGUGAACAAUGUUACUAACAUUUUAUCAGAUGAAGAAAUAACCAAAAUAAAAGUUUUAGAUCUUGAUGAGUUAUUCAACUUUGUUGUUGAUAACUUUUUCAGUUGAAAUC